This 472-nucleotide ribosomal RNA is filed under the name uncultured bacterium. RNAcentral's name for it is "bacterial SSU rRNA". It matches the Rfam family "Bacterial small subunit ribosomal RNA", at positions 328 to 792 of the family's 1533-position model. The record is from RNAcentral.
UUCCCAGACUCCUACGGGAGGCAGCAGUGGGGAAUAUUGCACAAUGGGCGCAAGCCUGAUGCAGCCAUGCCGCGUGUAUGAAGAAGGCCUUCGGGUUGUAAAGUACUUUCAGCGGGGAGGAAGGCGAUAAGGUUAAUAACCUUGUCGAUUGACGUUACCCGCAGAAGAAGCACCGGCUAACUCCGUGCCAGCAGCCGCGGUAAUACGGAGGGUGCAAGCGUUAAUCGGAAUUACUGGGCGUAAAGCGCACGCAGGCGGUCUGUCAAGUCGGAUGUGAAAUCCCCGGGCUCAACCUGGGAACUGCAUUCGAAACUGGCAGGCUGGAGUCUUGUAGAGGGGGGUAGAAUUCCAGGUGUAGCGGUGAAAUGCGUAGAUAUGUGGAAGAACACCGAUGGCGAAGGCAGCCUCCUGGGACGCAACUGACGCUCAUACACGAAAGCGUGGGGAGCAAACAGGAUUAGAUACCCCUGUA